Macaca mulatta (Rhesus monkey) is the source of this 1365-nucleotide non-coding RNA. The record is from RefSeq and is a predicted model, not a curated record. Lineage: Eukaryota; Metazoa; Chordata; Mammalia; Primates; Cercopithecidae.
AAAAGAAAAGAAAAGAAAAAAAAAAAAUACAACACUCCAAUUCCAGAAAUAAAGAGUGAGGUUCAUGAGUAUGUGAGAAGAGAAACAAAAUUUCUUUCUCAGAACGGCGAUCUUCAUUGUAAUUAAAAGCAUGCUAAGCAGGCAUGUGAUAACCAGCACUGCCACAUAUUUUCUGCCACAAUCAUCUAAUAAUCGUCCAUUUACACGAAGAGCAACACAGACAACAAGAGAGAAAGCAGCAUUUGAAGGCUGAAAAAAGGGAUCAAGGUUUCAAAAAGAUCCAAAAAACUGGGUUUACAGAAGAAGACUGAGUGUUGUCUGACCUCAAGCGUAUGGGAUGCCAGGCCAGGCAAAGCAUCUCAGAAAGAUAAAGAUUUGGUUUCCACCAUUUAAUUAUUUUCAUCCAUCUUUAGUAGAAGAGCAGGUAGGAAUCAACACAUAUUUAUAAAGCAUGUGCUAUAUGAAUAUGGCAUUCUGCUCCAGAACAUGAAAAAAAAAAGAUGUUGAGCUUUUCUUUGGGGAAACCAGACUACACACAUGAAAAGUGAUUAAUGUAAAGCAGAAGUUACAUACCUAGAAAUAGUAAGCUUUAUAGGUGAUAAGAUAUGAAGUGAAGUAACUACGGUCAGAGAGAGAAAUUCGGAUAACCAAGGAAAAGAUAGUCAAGUCACUACUGUAAGCCAAAAUCCAUUAGUAACCUUUGAGUGUGUGGUGUCAGCAAUGUGUUUAGAAGUUAGCUAUCAGAGACUGAAAGAAUUAUGAGAAAACAUGUGUCUAAAUUGGAGGCAUGUGAAGAGCCUCGAGAAAGCUCUUCUCUUCAUAGAAUCACAAACUUUAGCACUGGCAGAAAUCUGAUAAAUCAGUCUCUUCAUUUUAUACGUGUAAGUAAGUGAGGCCUGGGGAGGAUCAGAUAACCAGCCAAAGGUCUAUAGCCAGUAAAUUAAGGCUGGAAUCCAGACCUAUGGGCUUGCUACCAUUCACAAGAAUUACAUUCUUUAAGUUAUGAUCUUGGGUUCUUAUUGUCUAUCAAUAAAACUAAUGUUCAAAUAUGUGUUCUUUUCUAAAGCCUUUUAAAGUAUUUUAAAGUCCAUGAAAUCUAGGAAGCCAUAGAUGAUCAUUCUAAGCUUUUUUAGAACAAGAUUACUGAGAAUGCAACUGAAUUUUAGAGACUACCAGUCACCAAGUAAGUUGCUCAUGCACUACUCAGAUUAUCCCGAUAACAUUUGGAUGUUCAGGAAGGUCUUGGUUAGCACCAGUGACUAUCCCUGCUUCUGCUGAGGAUUUUAGCCACAAGUAGGCAAAGAUCCCCAAGGUGAUAGCAACAGUUUGAAAUACACCAUUUAUAGCUGUCCAAGCAAUCUUUCA